AUAGUCCUGAGAUGUUCGUAGAGCCUGUAAUUUCAACCGACAACAUUAAAACGGGAGUUCACGUCAGUAUAUGGAUGUCAUGUCUGUUUACCAGAAAGGCAGAAGUAUGUUGCAGAACACCCACCUGCCGUGAGGGCGGGUCUGAAAUUAUCAGGUAGCGGCAUGUCGGGCAUUUU
Molecule: non-coding RNA, 176 nt
Filed under: Fervidicella metallireducens AeB
Lineage: Bacteria; Bacillati; Bacillota; Clostridia; Eubacteriales; Clostridiaceae
Description: 6S / SsrS RNA
Rfam family: 6S / SsrS RNA
About the family: E. coli 6S RNA was the first non coding RNA to be sequenced, but its function was unknown until recently.
Source: Rfam by way of RNAcentral